GGAGUAGCCAUCCUAAAUGAUCACACCUUCAAGAAGGGAAUCCUGACGUCCUUCUUUCAGCUUUCAUCUCAAAUUUCUUAUCCUCCAAAGAAUUUCCAAAAUUUGAACUUAUCUCUUACAAAAAUUUCCGGCCGUUGUUUUUUUUCUCCAAAAGCCACCAAUUUUCUCCCUACAACCCCCCCCCCCCAUUUUUGAACACAUAAAUUCUUUAUCAUCUAAAACAGAGGGAGGGUUUUCAGAUAGCUAAUAGAGCAUCUCAGAUUUAAGGAUUUUUUUAUACGAAAAAAGUUUUCUUCUUUUGCUGCAUCAAGCUUCUUUGUUCGUCGUAGUCCAGCGAUCGUUUCAGUGGUGAGAUCUUCGUUAUUGUCCUGAAAAGGUUUCCCCACACAAAAUCAACCCAUUUUUUCCCUGCAUAACCCCCUUCCUUCACGGAUUUGACCAUCGAAAAACACAAAAAAAUCUUAAUGAUCUAAAAUAGAGGGGUUUUUCAUAUAGCUAAUGGAAGCGGUUUCCUCCUCGGCUGUAUCAAGCUUCUUUGUCCGUGGGAGUCCAACCACCAUUUCAGUGGUUGAAACUUCAUCUCAUCCCAAUUGCUGCCCGGUAAACGUAACCCUUUUCUCCUUUUAUGAUUCAUCUUUUUCCAGUUAAUUCUCUGUUUAGUUAAAUAGCGGUACAUCUAUUUAAGUUUGUUAAAUAACUGUUAUUUAUUUUCAAUAGCAGUUUAAGAAAUAUUGCUAUCUCUAUAUGUUGCUUAAUACAGUAUGAAUCAUAAUUUAUAAGGUCAUCUUUUGAAUUUUCAUUCCAGA
Long non-coding RNA from Solanum pennellii, 806 nucleotides. RefSeq lists it as uncharacterized. The record is from RefSeq and is a predicted model, not a curated record. NCBI's taxonomy places the organism in Eukaryota, Viridiplantae, Streptophyta, Magnoliopsida, Solanales, Solanaceae. The transcript is spliced from 2 exons.